RNAcentral lists this long non-coding RNA (208 nucleotides) under Elaeis guineensis (African oil palm). Its description in RNAcentral is "long non-coding RNA (EGUI_LNC004812)". The record is from RNAcentral. Lineage: Eukaryota; Viridiplantae; Streptophyta; Magnoliopsida; Arecales; Arecaceae.
AUAUCAAAUAUAUUAUUUGUUGCUAUUUUUACUAUAAAUAUUACUAAUUAGUUCAUAUCCAAGAAUAUCAUUAUUCUCAUCCUUGUAGGAAUAACCAUUACUUCUAUUUAAGAGUGUAAUCACCAUUCCUUCAAUUGAAAGAAUGGUGAUUUCAAAUGAAAUAUGAUUCCUAAGUAUAUUGACAUACCAAACACUAGAAUUGGACCAA